RNAcentral lists this ribosomal RNA (459 nucleotides) under Blastocystis sp. subtype 1. Its description in RNAcentral is "SSU rRNA". It matches the Rfam family "Eukaryotic small subunit ribosomal RNA", at positions 470 to 942 of the family's 1831-position model. Lineage: Eukaryota; Bigyra; Opalinata; Blastocystidae. The record is from RNAcentral.
ACAAUAAAUCACAAUGCGGGACUAUUCGUCUUGCAAUUGGAUUGAGAACAAUGUACAACUCUUAUCGAUAAGCCAUUGGAGGGCAAGUCUGGUGCCAGCAGCCGCGGUAAUUCCAGCUCCAAUAGCGUAUAUUAACGUUGUUGCAGUUAAAAAGCUCGUAGUUGAAGUGUGGGUGGUGCCUACUUCAUGACUUCGGUUGUGAGGUGGAUCACCACCCCCUUCCAGUAUCCAGUAGUGGGUAUUCAGUUACUUACUACUGUGUGUUGGUCCUUUACUGUGAGAAAAUUAGAGUGUUCAAAGCAGGCGUUUGCUUGAAUAGAUUAGCAUGGAAUAAUAAUUGAAGGCUUUCGUGUUCGAUUUGAUUGGUUUGUUCAUGGAAGCAAGGUUAAAAGGAACAGUUGGGGGUAUUCAUAUUCACUAGUUAGAGGUGAAAUUCUCGGAUUUAUGGAAGAUGAACAA